ACACAUGUCCGUAAUGCCAAUAGCGGAAAACACAACUCGAGUCUGUAGUUCCAUUUAACUUAGUAGUAUAAAGUAAGCGAAAAGCAGUGGAGAGUGGCUUCGAAAACAUUCAGUAAAGAAGAGCCUCUUGCAACGCAAAAUAAACUGAUUGGGUAGUCUUGCAGAUUCUUAGAUUCAGAGGACAGUAUUUGUAUGAAGUGAAUGGCAAUUAGUAUUUGGACUGUAUCAGCAACGUUCAGCACGCGGCAAAGGACACGAUCCAAAGCCCUUUGAACAUAACAGUACAACAUAAUCAACACAACAGUGCCUCCUAGUGUUCAGAGGCCAAUGAUCUAGCAUUACACUUGGAACCCAACAUGAAGACAUUGUGUUUGACCAUUCUGGAAACUGACAGAACAGAAAGAGUGGCUUUACAUGGUGUGCAAGAGGAUACGUGCUGCAUGCGUCUAUUCUUUGAUACGUGUGCUCUGCAAGGGGAGUGUUUGUGGCAGACGAGGUGAAGACAGGUUUUGGGCGUGUGGGGAGUCACUUUUGGGCGUUCCAGCUUCAGGGUGAUGACUUCUGCCCUGACAUAAUGACCAAGGUGAUGGGUAACGGGCAUCCCCUGGCAUGUAUGGUAACCAUAGUGGAGAUAGCUGGGGCCUUCACAGCCAACAAAGUAGAGUACUUUCACACAGUGAGAGACUAGUAGUUGCUGUUACUACCCAUUUAAAAAAUGUUACCUUAAUUUAACUUGGCAAGUCAGUUAAGAACAAAUUCUUAUUUACAAUGAUGACCUACCCUGGCCAAACCCUAACGACCCUGGGCCAAUUGUGCGCCGCCCUAUUGAACUCCCAAUCACAGCCGGUUGUGAUACACACUGGAAUCUAACCAGGGUCUGUAGUGACGCCUCUAGCACUGAGAUGCAGUGUCUUAGACCACUGCACCACUCGGGAGCCUUUAUAUAUAUAUUCUUAGAAAAUAAGGUGUAGUGCACAAAAGUUAAUGUUGUACAUUUGUUUACUGCACUGCAUCUGUGUACACAACCAAUAAACCCUGAUAUGUGCAACUCAAA
Long non-coding RNA from Oncorhynchus mykiss (rainbow trout), 1054 nucleotides. RefSeq lists it as uncharacterized. The record is from RefSeq and is a predicted model, not a curated record. Lineage: Eukaryota; Metazoa; Chordata; Actinopteri; Salmoniformes; Salmonidae.